Molecule: ribosomal RNA, 154 nt
Filed under: uncultured bacterium
Lineage: Bacteria
Description: partial 16S ribosomal RNA
Rfam family: Bacterial small subunit ribosomal RNA
Source: RNAcentral
CCUACGGGAGGCAGCAGUGGGGAAUAUUGCACAAUGGAGGAAACUCUGAUGCAGCGACGCCGCGUGAGUGAAGAAGUAAUUCGUUAUGUAAAGCUCUAUCAGCAGGGGAAGAUAGUGACGGUACCUGACUAAGAAGCUCCGGCUAAAUACGUGC